CCUACGGGUGGCAGCAGUGGGGAAUAUUGCACAAUGGGCGCAAGCCUGAUGCAGCCAUGCCGCGUGUGUGAAGAAGGCCUUCGGGUUGUAAAGCACUUUCAGCGGGGAGGAAGGCGGUGAGGUUAAUAACCUCAUCGAUUGACGUUACCCGCAGAAGAAGCACCGGCUAACUCCGUGCCAGCAGCCGCGGUAAUACGGAGGGUGCAAGCGUUAAUCGGAAUUACUGGGCGUAAAGCGCACGCAGGCGGUCUGUCAAGUCGGAUGUGAAAUCCCCGGGCUCAACCUGGGAACUGCAUUCGAAACUGGCAGGCUAGAGUCUUGUAGAGGGGGGUAGAAUUCCAGGUGUAGCGGUGAAAUGCGUAGAGAUCUGGAGGAAUACCGGUGGCGAAGGCGGCCCCCUGGACAAAGACUGACGCUCAGGUGCGAAAGCGUGGGGAGCAAACAGGAUUAGAUACCCCUGUUAGUC
This 466-nucleotide ribosomal RNA is filed under the name uncultured Klebsiella sp. Its description in RNAcentral is "bacterial SSU rRNA". It matches the Rfam family "Bacterial small subunit ribosomal RNA", at positions 338 to 795 of the family's 1533-position model. The record is from RNAcentral. Lineage: Bacteria; Pseudomonadati; Pseudomonadota; Gammaproteobacteria; Enterobacterales; Enterobacteriaceae.